Non-coding RNA from Acanthosepion pharaonis, 109 nucleotides. The record is from the annotation of a GenBank genome assembly. NCBI's taxonomy places the organism in Eukaryota, Metazoa, Mollusca, Cephalopoda, Sepiida, Sepiidae.
UUACGGCCAUAUCACGUUGAAAUACUGGUUCUCAUAAGAUCACUUAAGUUAAGCAACAUUAAGCCUGGACAGAAUCUAGAUGGGUGACCGCUUGCGAAUACUAGGUGCU